RNAcentral lists this non-coding RNA (26 nucleotides) under Mus musculus (house mouse). Lineage: Eukaryota; Metazoa; Chordata; Mammalia; Rodentia; Muridae. The record is from RNAcentral.
UAACUACAAGAGUCCAGAACAAGAUU